GUACUAGUGGUCCAAGUUGCAGCCAUUUUUAUUGGGUCUAAAACAUCCGUAGCUUGUUUAGUAAGUCUUUUGUGAAAUUUGGCGUCUCAAGCGUCAAGCGAGCGAGAGAUACUGCUAUGCUAGAGACCGGUAGAUGUAAGGAGUAUGCCCAAGGUAGUGGUUAAAUAUGUUAAUCUUGGGUAGACUAACAAUGAGCGAAGGCACCUUACAAGGACGGAUCUGACAGUGAGGGAUGAAAGCCAGGGGCGCAAAAGGGAUUAGAUACCCGCGUA
RNAcentral lists this ribosomal RNA (272 nucleotides) under uncultured prokaryote. RNAcentral's name for it is "partial 16S ribosomal RNA". It matches the Rfam family "Archaeal small subunit ribosomal RNA", at positions 473 to 743 of the family's 1478-position model. The record is from RNAcentral.